Molecule: ribosomal RNA, 180 nt
Filed under: uncultured bacterium
Lineage: Bacteria
Description: partial 16S ribosomal RNA
Rfam family: Bacterial small subunit ribosomal RNA
Source: RNAcentral
CGAAGUCGGAAUUGCUAGUAAUCGUAGGUCAGCAUACUACGGUGAAUACGUUCCCGGGCCUUGUACACACCGCCCGUCAAACCAUGAGAGUUGGCAACACCCGAAGUCGGUAGUCUAACCGCAAGGAGGACGCCGCCGAAGGUGGGGUUGAUGAUUAGGGUUAAGUCGUAACAAGGUAGC